GAUGAACGCUGGCGGCGUGCCUAAUACAUGCAAGUCGAGCGAACGGACGAGAAGCUUGCUUCUCUGAUGUUAGCGGCGGACGGGUGAGUAACACGUGGAUAACCUACCUAUAAGACUGGGAUAACUUCGGGAAACCAGAGCUAAUACCGGAUAAUAUUUUGAACCGCAUGGUUCAAAAGUGAAAGACGGUCUUGCUGUCACUUAUAGAUGGAUCCGCGCUGCAUUAGCUAGUUGGUAAGGUAACGGCUUACCAAGGCAACGAUGCAUAGCCGACCUGAGAGGGUGAUCGGCCACACUGGAACUGAGACACGGUCCAGACUCCUACGGGAGGCAGCAGUAGGGAAUCUUCCGCAAUGGGCGAAAGCCUGACGGAGCAACGCCGCGUGAGUGAUGAAGGUCUUCUGAUCGUAAAACUCUGUUAUUAGGGAAGAACAUAUGUGUAAGUAACUGUGCACAUCUUGACGGUACCUAAUCAGAAAGCCACGGCUAACUACGUG
Molecule: ribosomal RNA, 497 nt
Filed under: uncultured bacterium
Lineage: Bacteria
Description: partial 16S ribosomal RNA
Rfam family: Bacterial small subunit ribosomal RNA
Source: RNAcentral